UACGUAGGGGGCAAGCGUUAUCCGGAUUUACUGGGUGUAAAGGGAGCGUAGACGGCAUGGUAAGUCUGAUGUGAAAACCCGGGGCUCAACCGCGGGAUUGCAUUGGAAACUGCUGUGCUCGAGUGCUGGAGGGGCAGGCGGAAUUCCUGGUGUAGCGGUGAAAUGCGUAGAUAUCAGGAAGAACACCGGUGGCGAAGGCGGCCUGCUGGACAGUAACUGACGUUGAGGCUCGAAAGCGUGGGGAGCAAAC
RNAcentral lists this ribosomal RNA (250 nucleotides) under uncultured prokaryote. RNAcentral describes it as "partial 16S ribosomal RNA". It matches the Rfam family "Bacterial small subunit ribosomal RNA", at positions 524 to 773 of the family's 1533-position model. The record is from RNAcentral.